GACGAACGCUGGCGGCGUGCCUAAUACAUGCAAGUAGAACGCUGAAGGAGGAGCUUGCUUCUCUGGAUGAGUUGCGAACGGGUGAGUAACGCGUAGGUAACCUGCCUGGUAGCGGGGGAUAACUAUUGGAAACGAUAGCUAAUACCGCAUAAGAGUAGAUGUUGCAUGACAUUUGCUUAAAAGGUGCACUUGCAUCACUACCAGAUGGACCUGCGUUGUAUUAGCUAGUUGGUGAGGUAACGGCUCACCAAGGCGACGAUACAUAGCCGACCUGAGAGGGUGAACGGCCACACUGGGACUGAGACACGGCCCAGACUCCUACGGGAGGCAGCAGUAGGGAAUCUUCGGCAAUGGACGGAAGUCUGACCGAGCAACGCCGCGUGAGUGAAGAAGGUUUUCGGAUCGUAAAGCUCUGUUGUAAGAGAAGAACGAGUGUGAGAGUGGAAAGUUCACACUGUGACGGUAUCUUACCAGAAAGGGACGGCUAACUACGUG
Molecule: ribosomal RNA, 495 nt
Filed under: uncultured bacterium
Lineage: Bacteria
Description: partial 16S ribosomal RNA
Rfam family: Bacterial small subunit ribosomal RNA
Source: RNAcentral